Molecule: ribosomal RNA, 433 nt
Filed under: uncultured bacterium
Lineage: Bacteria
Description: partial 16S ribosomal RNA
Rfam family: Bacterial small subunit ribosomal RNA
Source: RNAcentral
AACGAACGCUGGCGGCAUGCCUAACACAUGCAAGUCGAACGAGACCUUCGGGUCUAGUGGCGCACGGGUGCGUAACGCGUGGGAACCUGCCCUUAGGUUCGGAAUAACUCCCCGAAAGGGGUGCUAAUACCGGAUAAUGUCUUCGGACCAAAGAUUUAUCGCCUUUGGAUGGGCCCGCGUUGGAUUAGCUAGUUGGUAGUGUAAAAGCCUACCAAGGCGACGAUCCAUAGCUGGUCUGAGAGGAUGAUCAGCCACACUGGGACUGAGACACGGCCCAGACUCCUACGGGAAGCAGCAGUGGGGAAUAUUGGACAAUGGGCGAAAGCCUGAUCCAGCAAUGCCGCGUGAGUGAUGAAGGCCUUAGGGUUGUAAAGCUCUUUUACCCGGGAUGAUAAUGACAGUACCGGGAGAAUAAGCUCCGGCUAACUCCGUG